Molecule: ribosomal RNA, 468 nt
Filed under: uncultured bacterium
Lineage: Bacteria
Description: partial 16S ribosomal RNA
Rfam family: Bacterial small subunit ribosomal RNA
Source: RNAcentral
GACGAACGCUGGCGGCGUGCUUAACACAUGCAAGUCGAACGGAAAGGCCCUGCUUUUGUGGGGUGCUCGAGUGGCGAACGGGUGAGUAACACGUGAGUAACCUGCCCUUGUCUUUGGGAUAACUUCAGGAAACUGGGGCUAAUACCGGAUAGGAGCUCCUGCUGCAUGGUGGGGGUUGGAAAGUUUCGGCGGUUGGGGGUGGACUCGCGGCUUAUCAGCUUGUUGGUGGGGUAGUGGCUUACCAAGGCUUUGACGGGUAGCCGGCCUGAGAGGGUGACCGGCCACAUUGGGACUGAGAUACGGCACAGACUCCUACGGGAGGCAGCAGUGGGGAAUAUUGCACAAUGGGCGGAAGCCUGAUGCAGCAACGCCGCGUGCGGGAUGACGGCCUUCGGGUUGUAAACCGCUUUCGCCUGUGACGAAGCGUGAGUGACGGUAAUGGGUAAAGAAGCACCGGCUAACUACGUG